GUAUUUGUUUAUUAAAUCAAAUUUUAGUCAAGUGUUUAACAUUAGACGCGUAGAGACUAAAAAUUGGCAGGCCGAAGAAAACUCUCCGUUGAUGCUAGUCGCACUGGACGACUUCACACCCCCACACACUAAAUAAUGCGUGGUUCCACCUGCCAACGGACAUGUCAAUGGUUCACACAAGGUGGAUAUGGAUAUAAUUAUCCAUUUUUGUGGACAAUUUGUUAAUGAUCCUUCCGCAGGUUCACCUACGGAAA
This 254-nucleotide unclassified non-coding RNA is filed under the name uncultured fungus. RNAcentral's name for it is "sequence contains ITS1". The record is from RNAcentral. Lineage: Eukaryota; Fungi.